AACGCACAUUGCGCCCCUUGGUAUUCCGAGGGGCAUGCCUGUUCGAGCGUCAUUACAACCCCUCAAGCCUGGCUUGGUGUUGGGGCCCGCGGUCUCGCGGCCCUUAAAAUCAGUGGCGGUGCCCUCUGGCUCUCAGCGUAGUAAUUGCUCUCGCUACAGGGUCCAGUUGGUGGCUGCCAGAACCCCCUAUUUUUUAGUUUGACCUCGGAUCAGGUAGGGAUACCCGCUGAACUUAA
This 236-nucleotide unclassified non-coding RNA is filed under the name uncultured fungus. Its description in RNAcentral is "sequence contains ITS2". The stretch from base 1 to 52 matches the Rfam family "5.8S ribosomal RNA", at positions 103 to 154 of the family's 154-position model. The record is from RNAcentral. Lineage: Eukaryota; Fungi.